This 1082-nucleotide long non-coding RNA is filed under the name Malus domestica (apple). Its description in RNAcentral is "long non-coding RNA (MDOM_LNC019474)". The record is from RNAcentral. Lineage: Eukaryota; Viridiplantae; Streptophyta; Magnoliopsida; Rosales; Rosaceae.
UCUCUACAAAUCAAUAUUGGGGUGAGAAGCUGCAGGACCCUGCACUUCUUCAAUCAUCCAUUGGGGCACGUGAUUUAAUAAACUUGUGAUUUGCUGUUCCAUUGUCUGGGUGAGAAGCAGCUAAUGGAAGGAAGUCAUGGAAUUAUUGUUUCAACGACUUUUUCCGUCUGUACUCCACUGGGAUCCUGCCGCUUAGUCGGUUGUAGCGAAGCGACAGCAACGACAGCACAAGAUAGCUCCCAAAAUUUACUGGCACGUAACCUUCGAUUUUGUUAAAACCCAAAUCAAGGGCGACGAGCUCUCCACCGCCAUUGCGCUCCGGGAUCUCGACACCUGUCAGGUUGUUAUUCACCAAGUCAACUUGCUGGAUAGACGGGAGGAGAAAGAACUAGAGCAUCUGAAGUCUGAACUCUCUCUCUCCCUCCGCUGUCAACUCUCUUAGUCUCGCAGUCAACUCGGACAAGGGAAACAGCUAAGAAGCUUGUGGGCAUUUCAUUGCAUCCAUAACUAGCAAGAAUGAUGAUGUUGAAAAUAGAGCAAGCUUGUGCGAAUACUAUUGUUUUAUGCGCUGGAUCCCAUUGUUUUUUAUGAAGGAGAGAAACCGCCUGGUAGAGAGAUUCUAGAAACAUCUGCAAGAAAUCUCCUUCUCAGUGAUGGGACUAAAGUUGCUGUCAAGAACAAAGAAGGAGUGGAGACAGCGCAGGAGCCAGCAUUACACACCACUUGGCCUUACGGAUCAAGGACAGAGAAUGAGUGGAGAGAUAAAGAAUAGCAAAUGGUCAUUGAGGUGGGGUUUCUGAAGACAAAGAAAUGGAGUGGGAGGCCAUGUUCUUUACGUUAUUUACAUUUUUUACAGCUGGAGUACACCAUCUUGUGUUCAAACAGCAGAAACCAGGCCGAAAGAGAAAGGCAGUGGCGGACAAAGCAAAAGGAAAAGAGAAAGAAAAGGGAAAGUAAAAGCAAAAGCAAGUGAGUGUGUCUGGAAGUGGAGAGAUCAAGGAGGGAACAGAAAAGAAAAAGGGAGAAUCAUGGGGAACACAUGGUGGGCAACACAAAAAGAGAAGAGAAAAAGGAAGGCUCCC